CAGACGAACGCUGGCGGCGUGCUUAACACAUGCAAGUCGAACGAUGAAGCCCAGCUUGCUGGGUGGAUUAGUGGCGAACGGGUGAGUAACACGUGAGUAACCUGCCCUUGACUCUGGGAUAAGCGCUGGAAACGGCGUCUAAUACCGGAUAUGACAACCGACGGCAUCGUCUGGUUGUGGAAAGAAUUUUGGUCAAGGAUGGACUCGCGGCCUAUCAGCUUGUUGGUGAGGUAAUGGCUCACCAAGGCGACGACGGGUAGCCGGCCUGAGAGGGUGACCGGCCACACUGGGACUGAGACACGGCCCAGACUCCUACGGGAGGCAGCAGUGGGGAAUAUUGCACAAUGGGCGAAAGCCUGAUGCAGCAACGCCGCGUGAGGGACGACGGCCUUCGGGUUGUAAACCUCUUUUAGCAGGGAAGAAGCGAAAGU
RNAcentral lists this ribosomal RNA (431 nucleotides) under bacterium. Its description in RNAcentral is "bacterial SSU rRNA". It matches the Rfam family "Bacterial small subunit ribosomal RNA", at positions 28 to 457 of the family's 1533-position model. The record is from RNAcentral.